RNAcentral lists this ribosomal RNA (299 nucleotides) under uncultured Cohnella sp. RNAcentral describes it as "partial 16S ribosomal RNA". It matches the Rfam family "Bacterial small subunit ribosomal RNA", at positions 394 to 687 of the family's 1533-position model. The record is from RNAcentral. Lineage: Bacteria; Bacillati; Bacillota; Bacilli; Caryophanales; Paenibacillaceae.
ACGCCGCGUGAGUGAGGAGGCUUUCGGGUCGUAAAGCUCUGUUGCCAGGGAAGAACGCCAUGGAGAGUAACUGCUCUAUGGGUGACGGUACCUGAGAAGAAAGCCCCGGCUAACUACGUGCCAGCAGCCGCGGUAAUACGUAGGGGGCAAGCGUUGUCCGGAAUUAUUGGGCGUAAAGCGCGCGCAGGCGGUCUUUUAAGUCUGGUGUCUAAGUGCGGGGCUCAACCCCGUGAUGCACUGGAAACUGGGAGACUUGAGUGCAGAAGAGGAGAGCGGAAUUCCAUGUGUAGCGGUGAAAU